UACAGAGGGUGCGAGCGUUAAUCGGAAUUACUGGGCGUAAAGCGCGCGUAGGCGGCUUUGCAAGUCGGGUGUGAAAUCCCCAGGCUCAACCUGGGAACUGCAUUCGAGACUGCAUUGCUAGAGUAUGGGAGAGGGAAGUGGAAUUUCAGGUGUAGCGGUGAAAUGCGUAGAUAUCUGAAGGAACAUCAGUGGCGAAAGCGACUUCCUGGACCAAUACUGACGCUCAUGUGCAAAAGCGUGGGGAGCAAACAGG
RNAcentral lists this ribosomal RNA (253 nucleotides) under uncultured bacterium. Its description in RNAcentral is "partial 16S ribosomal RNA". It matches the Rfam family "Bacterial small subunit ribosomal RNA", at positions 524 to 776 of the family's 1533-position model. The record is from RNAcentral.